UACGGAAGGCAGCAGUGGGGAAUAUUGCACAAUGGGCGCAAGCCUGAUGCAGCCAUGCCGCGUGUAUGAAGAAGGCCUUCGGGUUGUAAAGUACUUUUCAGUCGUGAGGAAGGUGUUAAGGUUAAUAACCUUAGCAAUUGACGUUAGCGACAGAAGAAGCACCGGCUAACUCCGUGCCAGCAGCCGCGGUAAUACGGAGGGUGCGAGCGUUAAUCGGAAUUACUGGGCGUAAAGGGCACGCAGGCGGUUAAUUAAGUUGGAUGUGAAAUCCCCGGGCUUAACCUGGGAAUGGCAUUCAAGACUGGUUAGCUAGAGUCUUGUAGAGGGGGUAGAAUUCCAUGUGUAGCGGUGAAAUGCGUAGAGAUGUGGAGGAAUACCGGUGGCGAAGGCGGCCACCUGGACAAAGACUGACGCUCAUGUGCGAAAGCGUGGGGAGCAAACAGGGAUUAGAUACC
RNAcentral lists this ribosomal RNA (455 nucleotides) under uncultured bacterium. RNAcentral describes it as "bacterial SSU rRNA". It matches the Rfam family "Bacterial small subunit ribosomal RNA", at positions 340 to 786 of the family's 1533-position model. The record is from RNAcentral.